RNAcentral lists this ribosomal RNA (301 nucleotides) under uncultured bacterium. RNAcentral describes it as "partial 16S ribosomal RNA". It matches the Rfam family "Bacterial small subunit ribosomal RNA", at positions 509 to 808 of the family's 1533-position model. The record is from RNAcentral.
CAGUCGCCGCGGUAAUACGUUGGGGGCUAGCGUUAUCCGGAUUUACUGGGCGUAAAGGGUGCGUAGGUGGUCCUUCAAGUCGGUGGUUAAGGGCUACGGCUCAACCGUAGUAAGCCGCCGAAACUGGAGGACUUGAGUGCAGGAGAGGAAAGUGGAAUUCCCAGUGUAGCGGUGAAAUGCGUAGAUAUUGGGAGGAACACCAGUAGCGAAGGCGGCUUUCUGGACUGCAACUGACACUGAGGCACGAAAGCGUGGGUAGCAAACAGGAUUAGAUACCCGCGUAGUCCCUGUCUCUUAUACC